GGUGAACGCUGGCGGCGUGCUUAACACAUGCAAGUCGAACGGAAAGGCUCCUGCUUGCAGGGGUACUCGAGUGGCGAACGGGGGAGUAACACGUGGGUGAUCUGCCCUGCACUUCGGGAUAAGCCUGGGAAACUGGGUCUAAUACCGGAUAGGACGAUGGUUUGGAUGCCAUUGUGGAAAGUUUUUCGGUGUGGGAUGAGCUCGCGGCCUAUCAGCUUGUUGGUGGGGUAAUGGCCUACCAAGGCGUCGACGGGUAGCCGGCCUGAGAGGGUGUACGGCCACAUUGGGCCUGCGAUACGGCCCAGACUCCUACGGGAGGCAGCAGUGGGGAAUAUUACACAAUGGGCGCAAGCCUGAUGCAGCGACGCCGCGUGGGGGAUGACGGCCUUCGGGUUGUAAACUCCUUUCGCUAGGGACGAAGCGCAAGUGACGGUACCUGGAGAAGAAGCACCGGCUAACUACGUG
RNAcentral lists this ribosomal RNA (465 nucleotides) under uncultured bacterium. Its description in RNAcentral is "partial 16S ribosomal RNA". It matches the Rfam family "Bacterial small subunit ribosomal RNA", at positions 28 to 507 of the family's 1533-position model. The record is from RNAcentral.